UUGGUGGCGAGUGGCGGACGGGUGAGUAACGCGUAGGAAUCUACCCAAUAGCGGGGGAUAGCCCGGGGAAACUCGGAUUAAUACCGCAUACGCCCUAAGGGGGAAAGGCCGGGAUCUUCGGACCGGUCACUAUUGGAUGAGCCUGCGUAAGAUUAGCUUGUUGGUGAGGUAAAAGCUCACCAAGGCGACGAUCUUUAGCUGGUCUGAGAGGAUGAUCAGCCACACUGGGACUGAGACACGGCCCAGACUCC
Molecule: ribosomal RNA, 251 nt
Filed under: uncultured bacterium
Lineage: Bacteria
Description: partial 16S ribosomal RNA
Rfam family: Bacterial small subunit ribosomal RNA
Source: RNAcentral